RNAcentral lists this transfer RNA (72 nucleotides) under Candidatus Woesearchaeota archaeon. RNAcentral's name for it is "tRNA-Gly". It matches the Rfam family "tRNA". From Rfam's summary of the family: Transfer RNA (tRNA) molecules are approximately 80 nucleotides in length. Their secondary structure includes four short double-helical elements and three loops (D, anti-codon, and T loops). The record is from RNAcentral. Lineage: Archaea; Nanobdellati; Candidatus Woesearchaeota.
ACGGCUGUGGUGCAGUGGUUAACAUUCGAGCUUCCCAAGCUUGAGACCCGGGUUCAAAUCCCGGCAGCCGUA